CAAAGAAAAUUGUCAUAUGCCGGCCGGUCUUGGGGUUUUUUGAAAUUUUGGCUAGAAAAAAUGAUUUUAUUGUGUAUUGUUGGUUCGCAAUAUUUUCCUAAGGCUCUGCUCGACCUUAUGUAAUAACAUGUUAAUAAUAGCACACACGAGCACACAGUCUUCAUGCGUCCUUUCACACAAGUGGAAAAGGUGGAGAUCCCAGACAACGGUGCUUAAUUGGUAUUGGAAGUGACUAUGGUGAGGCUUAAUCGUCAACCAAGGGUUAAAUACAAUGCAGGAAGCUAAAUAGGCAUCGAGAGACAAAGAUUUAUGGUAAAUGGAGGCUUCAAUAAAACAGUUCAGCCCUAUCUACAACUACAACUUUGAAACUAAACAAAGAGACUUUAUCUUCGUGGCAGUUAUUGGUAUGUCCUUCAUCGACCGCAACAAUUUGAAGAAGAUGCCAUUACACUGAUUAAAUUCAACAGUGGAAUGAGGAUGAAAUUCAACAUUAAAGAGAAAUUAAAUAAUUUUAGAUUUUCCAGGGCAGUACAUUUUUAUCCUUUUGAUUCAUAUCCUAACCAACAAUGCAUCAGGACUUUUAAGUAUAUUUAAAAUUUUAUUUCUUUUUGGAUAAAUAUAUAUUUCAACUGUUCAUUAUUUUUAAAUUUGAUUACUUAGGAAAAAAAUCCAAUGAGUCUCUGAGUUACAUUUUUAUGAUUCUUUAUUAUCAGACCAUCUAUUUUUAUUUUGGGACAAUAUUUGGCUUUUGGCCACUUCAUUUUCUUUUUUGUAAAUUUUUGAAAACAUCCACUUAGAACUUUACUUCAAGUUGUUUUUGGUUUAUUUUUAUUUCUCUGUAAUAGCUUGACUCUCAUAUUUUCUUGCUUAUAGGAAUAUCAGUAUUUCUAUAGGUUUUAUUCGUUUGGUAAAUGCAUGUUUAAGUAAAUGGUAUAUUUACUUAAAUGGUAGUAGGAUUUUACUUCAUGUUGUUUAUGGUUAACUUUUAUUUCUCUAUAACAGCUUGAUUUCUAUAUUAUAUUCAUUGUGGGAAUAAUAACAUCAU
This is a long non-coding RNA of Sitophilus oryzae (rice weevil), 1045 nucleotides long. RefSeq lists it as uncharacterized. The record is from RefSeq and is a predicted model, not a curated record. Lineage: Eukaryota; Metazoa; Arthropoda; Insecta; Coleoptera; Curculionidae. The transcript is spliced from 4 exons.